CUAAAAGAGUUUGAACAUAUAUAUUCACAUUCUGAUUUUUUGAAUUGUAUCCAGUGGACUUUGUGCUUCAGCUAUAUUAUGAUGUGUCAUCUCUUAUAUCAAAAAGUAAACAAAAAUACCGAACUCCGAGGAAAAUUCAAAAGUCCGUAAUCAAAUGGCAAAAUCAAAAGCUCAAACACAUCAAACGAAUGGACAACGACUGACAUAUUUCUGAUUUGGUAAAGACAUUUUCUAAUGUAGAAAAUGGUGGUUUAAUAGCUCUCAUUUGUAUGACAGUCGCUUAAACUUCAGUUAUAUGAAAAACACUGUGUGAACAAAACAAACUGAUAUGCUAUGAAAAAAAUGACAAAAAUAGGUGAACAACAGUAAAAAUUGUGUUAUAAUCUUAAUCAAUGAAAAGAAAAAAUAUGAAGCGAAGAAAUCACUAAGUGGCAUAUAGACAAGGCACAUAAGAAGAAAUGAAAGACAAGAAUAUAAAAUUUUACCAUAGAACAAUAACACAAAGACGGGAUGUAUAAGUACAGAGUGAUGUCAAAUGGAUGUCGCAAAAGCCGACUGAACAGUAAAAGUAAUAUUCAUAAAAACAGAGAGAACAAUAAUAUAACGCGUUAUUAAGAUGAGAAACAACAAUAGUACCCAGAAUCUUAGCAUCAAUACCAUUGUGUAUGACUUUCAAGAUUUAUACGGAAUAUUUAUCAACAAGGUCUUGGUACCUUCCGUUGAACUUUUUUAUAACCCCUGUUUAUCAACUUUUUUUAAUGCCUAUAUGUCACUAUAGCACAA
Molecule: long non-coding RNA, 783 nt
Filed under: Mytilus galloprovincialis (Mediterranean mussel)
Lineage: Eukaryota; Metazoa; Mollusca; Bivalvia; Mytilida; Mytilidae
Source: RNAcentral